AUAGAACGCUGGCGGCAUGCUUAACACAUGCAAGUCGAACGGUAACAGGCCCCUUCGGGGUGCUGACGAGUGGCGGACGGGUGAGUAAUGCUUAGGAAUCUGCCUAGUAGUGGGGGAUAACCCGGGGAAACUCGGGCUAAUACCGCAUACGCCCUACGGGGGAAAGCGGGGGACGUUUCGGCCUCCGCGCUAUUAGAUGAGCCUAAGUCCGAUUAGCUAGUUGGUAGGGUAAUGGCCUACCAAGGCGACGACGGUAGCUGGUCUGAGAGGACGACCA
This 277-nucleotide ribosomal RNA is filed under the name uncultured bacterium. Its description in RNAcentral is "partial 16S ribosomal RNA". It matches the Rfam family "Bacterial small subunit ribosomal RNA", at positions 31 to 306 of the family's 1533-position model. The record is from RNAcentral.